This 77-nucleotide transfer RNA is filed under the name Candidatus Phytoplasma mali. RNAcentral's name for it is "tRNA-fMet (CAT) (tRNA-fMet-CAT-1-1)". It matches the Rfam family "tRNA". Rfam says of the family: Transfer RNA (tRNA) molecules are approximately 80 nucleotides in length. Their secondary structure includes four short double-helical elements and three loops (D, anti-codon, and T loops). Lineage: Bacteria; Bacillati; Mycoplasmatota; Mollicutes; Acholeplasmatales; Acholeplasmataceae. RNAcentral also lists the same sequence under 2 other names. The record is from RNAcentral.
CGCGGGAUAGAGCAGUUUGGUAGCUCGUCGGGCUCAUAACCCGAAGGUCGUAGGUUCGAAUCCUUCUCCCGCAACCA